GGGGGAGUAGUUCAAUGGUAGAAUAUGGGUCUCCAAAACCCGGGACGAGGGUUCGAUUCCUUCCUCCCCUGCCA
This 74-nucleotide transfer RNA is filed under the name Candidatus Kerfeldbacteria bacterium CG08_land_8_20_14_0_20_40_16. RNAcentral's name for it is "tRNA-Trp". It matches the Rfam family "tRNA". Rfam says of the family: Transfer RNA (tRNA) molecules are approximately 80 nucleotides in length. Their secondary structure includes four short double-helical elements and three loops (D, anti-codon, and T loops). Further hydrogen bonds mediate the characteristic L-shaped molecular structure. tRNAs have two regions of fundamental functional importance: the anti-codon, which is responsible for specific mRNA codon recognition, and the 3' end, to which the tRNAs corresponding amino acid is attached (by aminoacyl-tRNA synthetases). tRNAs cope with the degeneracy of the genetic code in two manners: having more than one tRNA (with a specific anti-codon) for a particular amino acid; and 'wobble' base-pairing, i.e. permitting non-standard base-pairing at the 3rd anti-codon position. The record is from RNAcentral. Lineage: Bacteria; Candidatus Kerfeldiibacteriota.